Molecule: ribosomal RNA, 471 nt
Filed under: uncultured bacterium
Lineage: Bacteria
Description: partial 16S ribosomal RNA
Rfam family: Bacterial small subunit ribosomal RNA
Source: RNAcentral
GACGAACGCUGGCGGCGCGCCUAACACAUGCAAGUCGAACGAGCGAGCGAGAGCUUGCUUUCUCGCGCGAGUGGCGAACGGGUGAGUAACGCGUGAGGAACCUGCCUUUAAGAGGGGGACAACAGUUGGAAACGACUGCUAAUACCGCAUAAGCCCACGGCCCGGCAUCGAGCAGGGGGAAAAGUAGCAAGGCGGUUUGAGAUGGCAUGGCGUCCGAUCAGCUUGUUGGUGAGGUAGCGGCCCACCACGGCGACGAUCGGUAGCCGGGCUGGGAGGGGAACUGGCACGACUGGGACGGAGAUAAGGCACAGACCCGAAUCGGAGGGAGGGGAGGAGAAGAGUGUACAAUGGGAGGAAGCAUGAUCCAGUGCAGCGGCGUGGGGGAGAGGGGGAAUCGGUUCGGAUUGUGAUUUCGUGUGGUACGAAGAGUGAGUGACGGUAACGGGUAAAGAAGUGACGGCUAACUACGUG